GAUGAACGCUGGCGGCGUGCCUAAUACAUGCAAGUCGAGCGGUAAGGCCCUUCGGGUACGACGAGCGGCGGACGGCUGAGUAACACGUAGGAACGUACCCCAAACUAGAGGGAUAAGCACCAGAAAUGGUGUCUAAUACCGCAUGUGAUCUUCGGAUUAAAGCUUCGGCGGUUUGGGAACGGCCUGCGCAUGAUUAGCUUGUUGGUGAGGUAAUUGCUCACCAAGGCGACGAUCAUUAGCUGGUCUGAGAGGAUGACCAGCCAGACUGGAACUGAGAACGGUCCAGACUCCUACGGGAGGCAGCAGUAGGGAAUUUUCCACAAUGGGCGAAAGCCUGAUGGAGCAACGCCGCGUGCAGGAUGAAUGUCUUCGGAUUGUAAACUAGCUUUUAUAUGUGACGAUAAUGACGGUAGCAUAUUGAAUAAGGAUCGGCUAACUACCGUGCCAGCAGCCG
RNAcentral lists this ribosomal RNA (454 nucleotides) under uncultured bacterium. Its description in RNAcentral is "bacterial SSU rRNA". It matches the Rfam family "Bacterial small subunit ribosomal RNA", at positions 28 to 517 of the family's 1533-position model. The record is from RNAcentral.